AGCAGCCGCGGUAAUUCCAGCUCCAAUAGCGUAUAUUAAAGUUGUUGCAGUUAAAAAAGCUCGUAGUUGAAUUUCGGGAUCAAUAUGUUGGUCGUGCCUCGGUACGUACUAGCUUAUUGGUUUCUCCUUUCUGAAGAACCAUGAUGUCAUUUAUUUGGUGUCGUGGGGAAUCAGGACUGUUACUUUGAAAAAUUAGAGUGUUUAAAGCAGGCUCACGCUUGAAUACAUUAGCAUGGAAUAAUGAAAUAGGACGUUUGAUUCUAUUUUGUUGGUUUCUAGGAUCGACGUAAUGAUUAAUAGGGAUAGUUGGGGGCAUUAGUAUUCAAUUGUCAGAGGUGAAAUUCUUGGAUUUAUUGAAGACUAACUACUGCGAAAGCAUUUGCCAAGGAUGUUUUCAUUAAUCAAGAACGAAAGUUAGGGGAUCGAAGACGAUCAGAUACCGUCGUAGUCUUAACCAUAAACUAUGCCGACUAGGGAUCGGAUGAUGUUAAUUUUUAAUGUACUCA
Molecule: ribosomal RNA, 506 nt
Filed under: uncultured Glomeraceae
Lineage: Eukaryota; Fungi; Glomeromycota; Glomeromycetes; Glomerales; Glomeraceae
Description: SSU rRNA
Rfam family: Eukaryotic small subunit ribosomal RNA
Source: RNAcentral